UACGAGAGGCGCAAACGUUAUUCGGAUUCACUGGGCGUAAAGGGUGCGCAGGCGGCCGAGUGUGUGAGGCGUGAAAGCCCGGGGCUUAACCCCGGAAUUGCACCUCAAACUACACGGCUAGAGCAUUGGAGAGGGUAGCAGAAUUCAUGGUGUAGCAGUGAAAUGCGUAGAUAUCAUGAGGAAUACCAGAGGCGAAGGCGGCUACCUGGACAAUUGCUGACGCUCAGGCACGAAAGCGUGGGGAGCAAAAGGG
Molecule: ribosomal RNA, 253 nt
Filed under: uncultured bacterium
Lineage: Bacteria
Description: partial 16S ribosomal RNA
Rfam family: Bacterial small subunit ribosomal RNA
Source: RNAcentral